This 222-nucleotide ribosomal RNA is filed under the name uncultured bacterium. RNAcentral's name for it is "partial 16S ribosomal RNA". It matches the Rfam family "Bacterial small subunit ribosomal RNA", at positions 524 to 744 of the family's 1533-position model. The record is from RNAcentral.
UACAGGGGGGUGCAAACGUUGCUCGGAAUCAUUGGGCGUAAAGCGCACGUAGGCGGUUCGUUAUGUCGGAUGUGAAAGCCCUUGGCUUAACCGAGGAAGUGCAUCCGAAACUGGCGAGCUAGAGUACGAAAGAGGAUCGCGGAAUUCCCGGUGUAGCGGUGAAAUGCGUAGAUAUCGGAAGGAACACCAGUGGCGAAAGCGGCUUCCUGGUCCAGCACCGAC